Molecule: long non-coding RNA, 6302 nt
Organism: Cornus florida
Lineage: Eukaryota; Viridiplantae; Streptophyta; Magnoliopsida; Cornales; Cornaceae
Exons: 3
Source: RefSeq, a predicted model, not a curated record
AGACAAUAUGUUUUUGAUGGAACAAGAGAGACGAAUUAAGAUUUGGAUUAAAGAAAUAAAAAAGAAAUAAUGGAACAAAACAAAAAGGGAUGGAGCGAAAUAAGAAAAGCAAAAGGAAGACAGGGAAAGUGAAGAACCGGGGCGCCAAAUUAUGUGUUUUUCAACUUUCCUUUUUCGCUUGUGUCUUUUUAGGUCUACAGUUGGCACUUUAGUUUACUGUAACUUUUUUUUGGUUGUGUCAAGCCAAACACGGCAUUAAGCAGUGCGUUAGGGAAAGCAGAGGAUUUGCGCCCGACUAACCUCCCUACCAUGACCGUCGAUUCCGACUGGCGGCGACAAGUCAAGCAACAGGCAAAGCCGGCGGCCCCCAUCGCCAUCGGCCACUUAAGGAGCUUGACCGUCGACGCCAACCCCUUUGAAAGCCUUGUCUGUGCCUCCAUCUCAGAUGGCUGCGAGUCCGAGAUAUUUGGCGCCAAGCAGGCGGUGGAGGAGAAGAGAAUGGGUGGUCCUAACAAGCACUCGAUCUGAUUGAUCCCAAGAGAUCUAAAAGGCUUCAUACCACCAAAAAUCUUCAACAUCUCCUCAUUAUAAAUGUCUGGCUGCUUCUUCUAAUUGGAGGUAUGGCUGUAAAUGAGUUAAAGGCGAGCCAAGUAGGGUUUUAUUGGAGCUCAGCUUCACCAUAUAGCCAUAAUGUUCUACCUUUCCAGACUAACCACUCACAAGAGUGGUGGGUCCCACUAAUAUUGGUUAUGACACCCACCACUCUUUAAUGUUAUGUUUGGUUGGAAGGUAUAAUGGAGGACGGAUGGAAGAGAGGAAGGAUAGAAGAAUCUUCUCUCUCAUUUGGUUAGAAGUAAGGGAAGAGAGGGAGGAUGCAAGGGAGAUGAAGUAUCCCUCCUACAAGCUCAUGAUAAAAAAAAUAAAAUUGAUUUUAAUACUUCCUUUUCUAUCAUCAAAUCAACAAUUUCGUUCUGAAGAAAAGCCUUUGUUCACCAUCUUCAGGACAAAAGCUGAGCUUAUGUUACAUCAAACCCCUCCCUGUCCUGUUAGACGAUCUCACCUGUGAGGGUUUUGAAAUCUGUGCGAGGUCUGUACUAACCAGUCUAACCACUUCCGCAACUAUCAGCGGCCCACCCCAGAGGCUUUUUCGUGGGAAUCCUUAUAGUUUCUUCUUUCAGUGUCCUUCCAUUAAUUUUCUCUCUAAAAAUUGCAUCAUUUUUUUUUUUUGUUAGGUAACUAUUUACACACAUUUUACAGUUUGUACACUAUGGGCUUGAACCCCUCACGUCCCCCUUUGAGGAAGGAGAGGAUGUACCAUUGGGUUAAUGGCCCAUUUGGGUGCCACACUUCUAUGUUCUUAAUCGCUUAGUUUAAAAGUCUCUGUUCCUUAGCUCUCUUAGGCCCUGUUUGGUUGGAAAGAAAUACAAGGGAAAGAAAGGAAAGAAAAUUGGAAAAAAUGACAUAUUGUGUUUGUAGAAAUCAUUAAAGAAAAAUAAAAGAAAUGGAGGGUUUUGUUGGGAUACAUAUUAGGCAUGAUGAUUAGGUUUUGUUAUCCUUCCAAAAAUAGGAGUAAAUGUAAGGAAACGGCUAUAAAGUUUAAUAGAACUUUUUAAAUACUGAUUUUGCCCGCCCUUUGUAAAAAACAAACUUAAAAUAUCACGAGUCCUAAGACUUGACAUGUUUUUAUUCUCUUUAACCUUUCUUAGUUUUCAAAUUGUCUUUUUUUCUCUUUUUCGUUUUAUUAUUAUUAUAUUAUUGUUAUCCUUGCAAGAAACUCACACACCCACAUGCCCCUAUAGGGACUUCAACCCUCGAUCUUUCCCUUUGGAAGACAAAUAAAUACCACUGACUAUAGCCCUUGGUAAUUGUGACUUUGGCUUGAAUGAUGUUUAGUACAAAUUUUCUUUUUUCUCUUAUUUGUUUUAUCACUUCUUACUCAUAUAUUGUCUUUUACAUGUGAAAAUGUAAUAGUGGUAAAUUUAUUAAAACAAUUAUCUUCCUUUCUUUCUUCAAUUGUUAAGUCAAUCAUUUCUUAACUUAUCAAAAAAAAAUUGUUAACACAAUCAUUUCUUUACUUUUUCCUUAUUAAUCAACCAAACACGAUUAGAGUUUAACAUGGUCUUUACCUCUUUUUUUCUUUCUUUUCAGCUAUCUUUUCUUCAUUUGCUUUCUUAUUCCUCGUUAAUCAACCAAACACAAUUAGAGCACUGUCUCUUCUUGUCCUUCCCUACCUGUUAAACCAAGCAUAGAUUUAGGAUUCGGAUCCUGUGCUGUAGAGGAUCCGUGUUGUAUACCUCUCAUUGAUGUCUUCCCGAUGAAUUGGCUUGUUUGGAAUAUCUGAAACUCUUCAAAAUGGAAGAUAUUGAGAACAACCAAUUUCCUGGUUCUAUUCCUUCCUCAUGUUCAAUGUGUCGUCAUUGCUGUUUCUGAAUCUCAGGUCAGACCAGUUUUCGAGCUCUAUACUCUUUUGCAUUUCGGACACGCCUUCACUGGAAACCAUCAAUCUCAGUCCUAAUAACCAUUCCGGUACCCUCCCAGUAUACAUGUGCAAUUAUCUUUUUUAAAAGGGAAAGUUCAGUGCACAAGCAUUGCGGGAUCUGGGAGUGUCAAAUGUAUCAAGCCUUAUCUUUGCAUGCAGAGAGGCUGUUUCCAAUCACAAUCGAGCAACCUUACUGUUGUGCCGAGGCUUGCCCUCAUAUGCAAUUCUUUUCCUAAACUUAAAAGUCUUUAUCUGUCUGAGAAUCAGUUCUAUGGUCAAAUUCCAUUCAGUAUCUAUCUACAAAUGCAGAAAGCUUCAACAUAUAUCAUUACUGGCUAACGAAUUCUCGGGAAGCAUACCUAUGGGACUCGGGAAUUUAACUAUUCUCAAUGUCUUAUAUUUUGACAACAACAACAGCAGAGGUAUGACUCUGUUCUGUUUUUGUGUACAUAUUGGGCAUUUUCCAGCAGACAUGGCAUAAGAGAUUCACUAGAAGAGUGUUUCUAAAUUAUGCUUAACUCCAUUUAAUCUUCUUGUUUAACCAAAAAAGACUUAGCAAGAGAACUAUUUCAUAAACUUGGCCUAAACCUGCAUCAUAACCCUAGCCUAGGGUUGUUACAUACUCGAGUUGGGAAAGCUUUGUUCAAACCUAUACCAAAUUCGUCUUUUUAAUUUUUGACAAAUGAGAAGAGUUUCACUGAUAACAUAAUCUCUCUUUUUUAGAUGAGAAGACGUCUAUCAUUUUGCUAGAAUGACUCUGCCUAGACCAAGCGCAACUUAAAAUACAAGAAAUCUGAUUAUAACCUUUAUACAAGUCAUCUACAGUACUAGAUUAGGAAGACCUAGCAUGCCUGAAAGUCUUACGACUACUUGAAAUAUUAUACUAAAUAAUAAUAUCAACUUAUGCUCCAAUAAUCUAUUAUGGUUCCUAGUGGUGCGUCUCAAAAAAUUUAUCUAAUUGUUUUUUGGAAGGAUGGUGCAAAAAAAGUCUAUUCUAGUUCUUUUACUUGAUUGGAAAUUCUCACUUUCACUGUUAUUUGUUGCUCCUGUCAUCAUAAUUAUCAUCGGUAUCUUUUUUUUUGUUUUUUAUAUUUCAAAAUUUGAUCUUAUGUUAAUGACGGACAAACAUGAUUAUUAGGCCACAAAUAGAACAACAUUAUAGCGGAGAUGAUUAGUAUGGUUGAAGUAUAAAGUUGUAAUUGGUUAGUGGAAAGAUGGUAAAAUAAAUAUAUAAAAUUGAUUAGGAAAAGAUGGCAGUAGAUCUUAACUAACAGAUCCUGGCAUACCUUUCUGUUAAACUAAAUCUACUAGGCUUCUCAAAAAAUAGCCUUACAGGUUCCAUUCCUUCUGCUAUAUACAAUAUAUAUUCUCUGAAAGUAAUUGAUAUCCAAAACAACAGCCUCUGUGGUUAUCUGCCAUCGGAUAUGUGUUCUCCCCUCCCUGUACUUGAAGUACUUCAUGCUACAAACAAUAAAUUGAUGGGGAUCAUACCUAGAGGAAUUGGAAACUGUACUUUGCUCAAGGAAGUGACAUAAGGUAGGAACAACUUCACAGGUAAGACCAGUUUUACUUUCAUUUUGACGUUGUCUACUAGAUUUUUCACAAACUUAAACAACGUCGAUAACAUCUUUCACUUUAUAACAUCUUUCACUUUAUGCUUAAAAGAUUAUACUAAAUAGUAAUAUCAACUUAUGCUCCAAUAAUCUGUUAUGCUUCCAAGUGGUUUAAUAAAAAAAAUUAUCUAAUUAUUAAUUUUCUGGUAGGAUGGUGCAAAAAAGUCUAUUCUAAUUUUUAACUUGAUUGGAAGUUCUCACUUUUACUAUUACCGUUGUUGUUGUUGUUGCUGCUGCUGCUUCUGUCAUCAGUUUCAUCAUCAGUAUCUUCUUCUUCUUUUUUUUUUUUUUUUUUUUUUUUUUUCUGUUUUAAUUUAUGAUCUUAUAUUAAUGACAGACAAAUCAUGAUUAUUAGGCCAAAAAUAGCAGAACAUUAUAGUGGAGAUGAUGUGUAUGGUUAAACUAUAAAGCUGUAAUUGGUUAGGAGAAAGACGGACACUAAAAAUAAUAAUUAGAAAAGAUUGCAGUUGAUCUGUGCUCCAUCAUAUCUUAGCAAACUUUUAUGUUGAACUAAAUCUAGAAGCAUGGAUAAAGGAAAUAAAAACACCUUGAUUGUGCAUUAGGCUUUAGAAUCCAUCUUUGAUUCUUUAUGGAAUGAAAAAAAAAAUAGUACAGUAACUGUUGUAGUCCAUUUAUAUUUGAAUAUGUGGGGAGUUACAAGUUGAUCAUUACUACCAUGCAGGUGAGAUUCCGCAAGAAUUGGUUUAUCUUGUUAAUUUGGAGAUACUAGGCUUUUCAAAUAUUGGCCUUACAAGUUCCAUUCCUUCUGCUAUAUACAAUAUAUCUUCUCUGAAAGUAAUUGAUCUCCAAAACAACGGCCUUUCUGGUAAUCUGCCAUCGGAUAUGUGUUAUUGCCUUCCUGUACUUGGAAGUACUUCGUGCUACAAACAACAAAUUGAUGGGGAUCAUACCUAGAGGAAUUGGAAACUGUACUUCGCUCAAAGUAGUGAGAUUGGGCGGGAACUACUUCACAGGUUCAAUACCGGAUGAAAUCGGUAACCUUAAUCUUGAGAAUUUCGGUAUCUAUGUGAAUAUGCUAAGUGGCCUCCUUCCAGCAACUGUAUCAGUUCUCAGGCCAGCUUCCGUCAAGCAUGAGCCCCUGUCUUCCCAAUCUUGAAAAUCUUCUAAUAGGAGGACAUGAAUCUUCGGAGCAAUCCCCAGCUCCAUCUCCAAUGCUUCUAAACUUACCAUCCUAGACACGCCUGACAACUUAUUGACUGGCUCUAUACCUAAUACACUUUGGUAAUUUAAGAUUCCUGCAGCGGUUUGUCAUUGGAGAAAAUGAAUUGACCAGCGAAUCUUCCACUCAUGAAUUGAGAUUUAUCUCAUCUUUGACAAAUUGUAGAGAUUUGGAAGUACCGGGGUUAUCAUUAAAUCCACUUAAUGGCAUUCUCCCAAGUUGUAUCGGUAAUCUCUCUGCUUCUCUUCAAAGGUUUACUGCAUUUGAUUGCAAAAUUCAGGGUAAGAUUCCUUAGUGGAAUUGGAAAUUUAAGUAACUUGAUAGCCUUUAAGGUUAGAGAGCAAUGAAAUAUCUGGAUCUAUUCCACCAACAGUGGGAGGGUUACAACACCUCCAACGCUCGAGUCUUUCAGACAAUAAAUUGAGUGGAUUCAUCCCAACUGAUCUUUGUUACUUGAGGAACUUGGAAAAAGCCCACUGAUGAAAUGUUUGAUGGAGAAAUGAAUUUGAAACGUUGGGUGGGUGACUCAUUAAUGCAUGGCUCAAUAACCCAAGUGGUGGAUUCCAAUCUACUAGGAGAAGAUGAACAUGACACUGAGAAGGAGCAAUGUGUAUCAUCUAUCUUGGCCCUGGCCGUGGAUUGUUCAGCAGAUUUGCCUCGGGGAACGAAUUAGCAUGAAAGAUGUUGUAGUUAGACUAGGAAAAAUUAAGAGCAAAGUUUUCUAGGGACAAUUGAUUUCAGAGAACAGUGUUAUGUCUAUGAUGCUUAAAUUGAGUAUUUAGCACGUCCUAAUAAGUCCAUUUCAUUUGAUUUUGGGUGUUCUCAACAUUCUUGUUUAUUUGUUCAGUUGGCCAUAGGAAUUAUUCCUUUAGAAUGUAAUUGCUUUCUUAUCUUGAAAUUGAAGAGAGCAAGUUCUUUUAGCUUCUUGAGAAUGCAUUUGAAAUCCUUUAAACUGAAGUACCUAAAAUUGAAAUCUAUUGGAUUUCAAAAUUUCUUGUUUGGAUUCUAAAAUAUUUAUGGAGAGGAUCUG